This 2930-nucleotide ribosomal RNA is filed under the name Escherichia coli. RNAcentral describes it as "23S ribosomal RNA". It matches the Rfam family "Bacterial large subunit ribosomal RNA". The record is from RNAcentral. Lineage: Bacteria; Pseudomonadati; Pseudomonadota; Gammaproteobacteria; Enterobacterales; Enterobacteriaceae.
GGGUUGUGAGGUUAAGCGACUAAGCGUACACGGUGGAUGCCCUGGCAGUCAGAGGCGAUGAAGGACGUGCUAAUCUGCGAUAAGCGUCGGUAAGGUGAUAUGAACCGUUAUAACCGGCGAUUUCCGAAUGGGGAAACCCAGUGUGAUUCGUCACACUAUCAUUAACUGAAUCCAUAGGUUAAUGAGGCGAACCGGGGGAACUGAAACAUCUAAGUACCCCGAGGAAAAGAAAUCAACCGAGAUUCCCCCAGUAGCGGCGAGCGAACGGGGAGCAGCCCAGAGCCUGAAUCAGUGUGUGUGUUAGUGGAAGCGUCUGGAAAGGCGCGCGAUACAGGGUGACAGCCCCGUACACAAAAAUGCACAUGCUGUGAGCUCGAUGAGUAGGGCGGGACACGUGGUAUCCUGUCUGAAUAUGGGGGGACCAUCCUCCAAGGCUAAAUACUCCUGACUGACCGAUAGUGAACCAGUACCGUGAGGGAAAGGCGAAAAGAACCCCGGCGAGGGGAGUGAAAAAGAACCUGAAACCGUGUACGUACAAGCAGUGGGAGCACGCUUAGGCGUGUGACUGCGUACCUUUUGUAUAAUGGGUCAGCGACUUAUAUUCUGUAGCAAGGUUAACCGAAUAGGGGAGCCGAAGGGAAACCGAGUCUUAACUGGGCGUUAAGUUGCAGGGUAUAGACCCGAAACCCGGUGAUCUAGCCAUGGGCAGGUUGAAGGUUGGGUAACACUAACUGGAGGACCGAACCGACUAAUGUUGAAAAAUUAGCGGAUGACUUGUGGCUGGGGGUGAAAGGCCAAUCAAACCGGGAGAUAGCUGGUUCUCCCCGAAAGCUAUUUAGGUAGCGCCUCGUGAAUUCAUCUCCGGGGGUAGAGCACUGUUUCGGCAAGGGGGUCAUCCCGACUUACCAACCCGAUGCAAACUGCGAAUACCGGAGAAUGUUAUCACGGGAGACACACGGCGGGUGCUAACGUCCGUCGUGAAGAGGGAAACAACCCAGACCGCCAGCUAAGGUCCCAAAGUCAUGGUUAAGUGGGAAACGAUGUGGGAAGGCCCAGACAGCCAGGAUGUUGGCUUAGAAGCAGCCAUCAUUUAAAGAAAGCGUAAUAGCUCACUGGUCGAGUCGGCCUGCGCGGAAGAUGUAACGGGGCUAAACCAUGCACCGAAGCUGCGGCAGCGACGCUUAUGCGUUGUUGGGUAGGGGAGCGUUCUGUAAGCCUGUGAAGGUGUACUGUGAGGUAUGCUGGAGGUAUCAGAAGUGCGAAUGCUGACAUAAGUAACGAUAAAGCGGGUGAAAAGCCCGCUCGCCGGAAGACCAAGGGUUCCUGUCCAACGUUAAUCGGGGCAGGGUGAGUCGACCCCUAAGGCGAGGCCGAAAGGCGUAGUCGAUGGGAAACAGGUUAAUAUUCCUGUACUUGGUGUUACUGCGAAGGGGGGACGGAGAAGGCUAUGUUGGCCGGGCGACGGUUGUCCCGGUUUAAGCGUGUAGGCUGGUUUUCCAGGCAAAUCCGGAAAAUCAAGGCUGAGGCGUGAUGACGAGGCACUACGGUGCUGAAGCAACAAAUGCCCUGCUUCCAGGAAAAGCCUCUAAGCAUCAGGUAACAUCAAAUCGUACCCCAAACCGACACAGGUGGUCAGGUAGAGAAUACCAAGGCGCUUGAGAGAACUCGGGUGAAGGAACUAGGCAAAAUGGUGCCGUAACUUCGGGAGAAGGCACGCUGAUAUGUAGGUGAAGUCCCUCGCGGAUGGAGCUGAAAUCAGUCGAAGAUACCAGCUGGCUGCAACUGUUUAUUAAAAACACAGCACUGUGCAAACACGAAAGUGGACGUAUACGGUGUGACGCCUGCCCGGUGCCGGAAGGUUAAUUGAUGGGGUCAGCGCAAGCGAAGCUCUUGAUCGAAGCCCCGGUAAACGGCGGCCGUAACUAUAACGGUCCUAAGGUAGCGAAAUUCCUUGUCGGGUAAGUUCCGACCUGCACGAAUGGCGUAAUGAUGGCCAGGCUGUCUCCACCCGAGACUCAGUGAAAUUGAACUCGCUGUGAAGAUGCAGUGUACCCGCGGCAAGACGGAAAGACCCCGUGAACCUUUACUAUAGCUUGACACUGAACAUUGAGCCUUGAUGUGUAGGAUAGGUGGGAGGCUUUGAAGUGUGGACGCCAGUCUGCAUGGAGCCGACCUUGAAAUACCACCCUUUAAUGUUUGAUGUUCUAACGUGGACCCGUAAUCCGGGUUGCGGACAGUGUCUGGUGGGUAGUUUGACUGGGGCGGUCUCCUCCUAAAGAGUAACGGAGGAGCACGAAGGUUGGCUAAUCCUGGUCGGACAUCAGGAGGUUAGUGCAAUGGCAUAAGCCAGCUUGACUGCGAGCGUGACGGCGCGAGCAGGUGCGAAAGCAGGUCAUAGUGAUCCGGUGGUUCUGAAUGGAAGGGCCAUCGCUCAACGGAUAAAAGGUACUCCGGGGAUAACAGGCUGAUACCGCCCAAGAGUUCAUAUCGACGGCGGUGUUUGGCACCUCGAUGUCGGCUCAUCACAUCCUGGGGCUGAAGUAGGUCCCAAGGGUAUGGCUGUUCGCCAUUUAAAGUGGUACGCGAGCUGGGUUUAGAACGUCGUGAGACAGUUCGGUCCCUAUCUGCCGUGGGCGCUGGAGAACUGAGGGGGGCUGCUCCUAGUACGAGAGGACCGGAGUGGACGCAUCACUGGUGUUCGGGUUGUCAUGCCAAUGGCACUGCCCGGUAGCUAAAUGCGGAAGAGAUAAGUGCUGAAAGCAUCUAAGCACGAAACUUGCCCCGAGAUGAGUUCUCCCUGACCCUUUAAGGGUCCUGAAGGAACGUUGAAGACGACGACGUUGAUAGGCCGGGUGUGUAAGCGCAGCGAUGCGUUGAGCUAACCGGUACUAAUGAACCGUGAGGCUUAACCUUACAACGCCGAAGCUGUU